RNAcentral lists this ribosomal RNA (253 nucleotides) under uncultured bacterium. RNAcentral describes it as "partial 16S ribosomal RNA". It matches the Rfam family "Bacterial small subunit ribosomal RNA", at positions 524 to 776 of the family's 1533-position model. The record is from RNAcentral.
UACGAAGGGGGCUAGCGUUGCUCGGAAUCACUGGGCGUAAAGCGCACGUAGGCGGAUCGCUAAGUCAGGGGUGAAAUCCUGGAGCUCAACUCCAGAACUGCCUUUGAUACUGGCAAUCUCGAGUCCGGGAGAGGUGAGUGGAACUGCGAGUGUAGAGGUGAAAUUCGUAGAUAUUCGCAAGAACACCAGUGGCGAAGGCGGCGAUCUGGACAGAUAUUGACGCUGAGGUGCGAAAGCGUGGGGAGCAAACAGG